UACGUAGGGUGCGAGCGUUGUCCGGAAUUAUUGGGCGUAAAGAGCUCGUAGGCGGUCUGUCGCGUCGAAUGUGAAAACCCGGGGCUCAACUCCGGGCUUGCAUUCGAUACGGGCAGGCUAGAGUUCGGUAGGGGAGUCUGGAAUUCCUGGUGUAGCGGUGAAAUGCGCAGAUAUCAGGAGGAACACCGGCGGCGAAGGCGGGACUCUGGGCCGAUACUGACGCUGAGGAGCGAAGGCGUGGGGAGCGAACAGG
This 253-nucleotide ribosomal RNA is filed under the name uncultured bacterium. RNAcentral describes it as "partial 16S ribosomal RNA". It matches the Rfam family "Bacterial small subunit ribosomal RNA", at positions 524 to 776 of the family's 1533-position model. The record is from RNAcentral.